This 45-nucleotide transfer RNA is filed under the name Trichocline plicata. RNAcentral's name for it is "partial tRNA-Phe". Lineage: Eukaryota; Viridiplantae; Streptophyta; Magnoliopsida; Asterales; Asteraceae. The record is from RNAcentral.
UGGUAGAGCAGAGGACUGAAAAUCCUCGUGUCACCGGUUCAAAUA